This 654-nucleotide long non-coding RNA is filed under the name Macaca mulatta (Rhesus monkey). Its description in RNAcentral is "lncRNA (ENSMMUG00000037508.2)". The record is from RNAcentral. Lineage: Eukaryota; Metazoa; Chordata; Mammalia; Primates; Cercopithecidae.
GGAUAAUGCUGAGGUCCAGAGGCCUCAAGGGCAGGAAUGCAGGAUUUUCUACCAGCUUGGGUCACCUGUGGGCCAUCCGUCUGAUUCUGCCAGACUCAAUCAGUUCCUCCUCCUGAGCAAUCAGCCACGAACCCCGAUGCGUGCAGGCCGGUAGGGAACUUAUGAUUUUCCUAUGACUCAUUAAGACAAACACACUGCUAUUUUAAGAACAUUCGACCUUGUUCUACCUAAAAUUUUUGCAUCACUUGCUGGUGGCCAGAUAUCACGUGGCAAAGGCUGAGCUGGCUGUAAGUAUACAGCAGGCACUCGGCAAGUCUUAGUUUUGGUGAAUGGUGUUUCCACAUUGGGUCAGCACAUAUGGACCCAAAGUGUGGGUCAGAAGCUUCUUGAGAAUCAGAACACCACCUUCACUGCCAGCAAAGCAUCCUGGAUGAGGUUCCGCCCCAGCAACUUUGUAAUCUAGCGUGUUUGAAGUGUCUAAAGACUCCCAGCAUAAUGAAUGGAGCCCUCGGUAGCAGAGCCGGGGUUUUCAGCUCUGUCUCCUGGCAAGUCCCCUCCCACCAAUAGCCUCAAUCUCCAACCAAGGCUCUCCUCGAAGAAUGGGAUACAUUUAUCUUUCAUAGCUGACUCCUGGGAGCAAAUGAAAAAGUUAAU